CCUACGGGGUGCUGCAGUGGGGAAUAUUGGACAAUGGGCGAAAGCCUGAUCCAGCCAUGCCGCGUGUGUGAAGAAGGCCUUCGGGUUGUAAAGCACUUUCAGUGGGGAAGAAAGCCUUGGGGCUAAUACCCUCGAGGAAGGACAUCACCCACAGAAGAAGCACCGGCUAACUCCGUGCCAGCAGCCGCGGUAAUACGGAGGGUGCGAGCGUUAAUCGGAAUUACGGGGCGUAAAGCGCGCGUAGGCGGUCUGAUAAGCCGGUUGUGAAAGCCCCGGGCUCAACCUGGGAACGGCAUCCGGAACUGUCAGGCUAGAGUGCAGGAGAGGAAGGUAGAAUUCCCGGUGUAGCGGUGAAAUGCGUAGAGAUCGGGAGGAAUACCAGUGGCGAAGGCGGCCUUCUGGACUGACACUGACGCUGAGGUGCGAAAGCGUGGGUAGCAAACAGGAUUAGAUACCCCUGUAGUC
Molecule: ribosomal RNA, 465 nt
Filed under: Vreelandella stevensii
Lineage: Bacteria; Pseudomonadati; Pseudomonadota; Gammaproteobacteria; Oceanospirillales; Halomonadaceae
Description: partial 16S ribosomal RNA
Rfam family: Bacterial small subunit ribosomal RNA
Source: RNAcentral